RNAcentral lists this ribosomal RNA (425 nucleotides) under uncultured bacterium. RNAcentral's name for it is "partial 16S ribosomal RNA". It matches the Rfam family "Bacterial small subunit ribosomal RNA", at positions 354 to 796 of the family's 1533-position model. The record is from RNAcentral.
GUGGGGAAUCUUGCGCAAUGGGCGAAAGCCUGACGCAGCCAUGCCGCGUGGAUGAUGAAGGUCUUAGGAUUGUAAAAUCCUUUCACCGGUGAAGAUAAUGACUGUAGCCGGAGAAGAAGCCCCGGCUAACUUCGUGCCAGCAGCCGCGGUAAUACGAAGGGGGCUAGCGUUGCUCGGAUUUACUGGGCGUAAAGGGCGCGUAGGCGGACAUUUAAGUCAGGGGUGAAAUCCCGGGGCUCAACCUCGGAACUGCCUUUGAUACUGGGUGUCUUGAGUACGGGAGAGGUGAGUGGAACUCCGAGUGUAGAGGUGAAAUUCGUAGAUAUUCGGAAGAACACCAGUGGCGAAGGCGACUCACUGGCCCGUUACUGACGCUGAGGCGCGAAAGCGUGGGGAGCAAACAGGAUUAGAUACCCCGGUAGUCC